This 292-nucleotide ribosomal RNA is filed under the name uncultured bacterium. RNAcentral's name for it is "partial 16S ribosomal RNA". It matches the Rfam family "Bacterial small subunit ribosomal RNA", at positions 505 to 796 of the family's 1533-position model. The record is from RNAcentral.
GUUUCAGCCGCCGCGGUAAUACGAAGGGUGCAAGCGUUACUCGGAAUUACUGGGCGUAAAGCGUGCGUAGGCGGUUCGUUAAGUCCGUUGUGAAAGCCCUGGGCUCAACCUGGGAAUGGCAGUGGAUACUGGCGAGCUAGAGUGUGAUAGAGGAUGGUGGAAUUCCCGGUGUAGCGGUGAAAUGCGUAGAGAUCGGGAGGAACACCAGUGGCGAAGGCGGCCAUCUGGAUCAACACUGACGCUGAGGCACGAAAGCGUGGGGAGCAAACAGGAUUAGAUACCCUAGUAGUCC